UGGGGAAUAUUGCACAAUGGGCGAAAGCCUGAUGCAGCGACGCCGCGUGAGUGAAGAAGUAUUUCGGUAUGUAAAGCUCUAUCAGCAGGGAAGAAAAUGACGGUACCUGACUAAGAAGCCCCGGCUAACUACGUGCCAGCAGCCGCGGUAAUACGUAGGGGGCAAGCGUUAUCCGGAUUUACUGGGUGUAAAGGGAGCGUAGACGGCGAAGCAAGUCUGAAGUGAAAACCCAGGGCUCAACCCUGGGACUGCUUUGGAAACUGUUUUGCUAGAGUGUCGGAGAGGUAAGUGGAAUUCCUAGUGUAGCGGUGAAAUGCGUAGAUAUUAGGAGGAACACCAGUGGCGAAGGCGGCUUACUGGACGAUAACUGACGUUGAGGCUCGAAAGCGUGGGGAGCAAACAGGAUUAGAUACCCUGGUA
RNAcentral lists this ribosomal RNA (420 nucleotides) under uncultured bacterium. RNAcentral's name for it is "bacterial SSU rRNA". It matches the Rfam family "Bacterial small subunit ribosomal RNA", at positions 355 to 792 of the family's 1533-position model. The record is from RNAcentral.